RNAcentral lists this ribosomal RNA (492 nucleotides) under uncultured bacterium. RNAcentral's name for it is "partial 16S ribosomal RNA". It matches the Rfam family "Bacterial small subunit ribosomal RNA", at positions 29 to 507 of the family's 1533-position model. The record is from RNAcentral.
AGUGAACGCUGGCGGUAUGCCUAACACAUGCAAGUCGAACGGCAGCACAUUAAUAGCUUGCUCGUACGGGUUGCGAGUGGUGGACGGGUGAGGAAUACAUCGGAAUCUACUUUUUCGUGGUGUAUAACGUAGGGAAACCUACGCUAAUAUCGCAUACCACCUACGGGUGAAAGCAGGGGAUCUUCUUACCUUGCGCGAUUGAAUGAGACGAUGUCGGAUUAGCUAGUUGGCGGGGUAAAGGCAGAACAAGGCGACGAACCGUAGCUGGUAUGAGAGGAUGAUCAGCCACACUGGAACUGAGACACGGUCCAGACACCUAAGGGAGGAAGCAGUGGGGAAUAUUACACGAUGGACCCGAGCCUGAUACAGCAAUACCGCGUAAGUGCAGAAGGAGUUAGGGUUCUAAAGCCCAUUUGUAGGUAAAGAAAAAAAGCAGGUUAAUAACCCAAUAUUAUGACGGUACCCAAAGAAUAAGCUCCGGCUAAAUUCGUG